CAGAGCCAACUUUAAACUGCUGCCAUCUGUUGGCACCAAUGACCGUAGAAAACAUUAUUGCGACAACACGUUUUUUGGGGAAAAUAACAGAGAUUGAAACUUUACUGAUAAUUUGUCCAAGUUGAAAAAUGCCCUCCUCCAAAAAUAUCAUGUGACAACCUCAUUGCCUUACAGAAUCAUGACGUCACGCACAUGUAGAAUCUUACCACCACUUUGAUCCUUUGGUCCUUUGAUCCUUAAAACCCAUAAAUAGCGGUGAAACGCAAUGACUUUUAGUCCGUUUCUCGCAGCAAUCUUUGCAGCAUUGAACCGUUCGCCAGAAAAGCCUUUUGAAAUAUUUGGAUCCUUUGCAUAGUCACUGUUUCCAGACUCAACAUGUCUCAAACAGAAUAUCCAAAGGGACAAGAAGUUGACCCCUACGCUCUUCCCUGGGAUCAGCCACUAGACCCUUACCUCUCCUCUCUUCCUUGGUGUGACCAAGUAGAAAUAGAGGAAAAGCGCUUGGAAGAAAUGGAGGAUGAAAUGCUCACGAACGCAGAGAAGGUUAAGUUAUUGAUGGAGGAAAAUGAGAGAAACAGGGCUGAAUUAAAAAAGUUGUCCUACCAGCUUCAAGAAAAGGAAGCUAUUAUUGAGGAGAAACAACAGGAUCUCUGGGACAUGGACAAAAAGAACCAGGAGCUUCAAAGAAAGCUUGAUCAAGCUCUGCAGCAAAAUAAAAAACUCGUCCAAGAGAAGAAACAUGAGGACAUGAAGAAGAGAGGGAUGGACCGCAAUCUCCUAGACGUGGAGUUAAUGUACAGUAUCGAGAAAAAAAGGCUUGGUGACACACUGCAAGCAAAUGAAAAGCUUCUACAAGAGAAAAGGCAACAGGAGAUCAAACAAAAAGAAAUGGAUCGGAAGCUUCAGAGCAUCAAGCAACACAAUGAAAGCUUGCAAGGAAAGCUUGAUGAAGCUCUGCGACAAAAUAAAAAACUUGUCCAACAGAAGAAACAUGAGGACAUGAAGAAGAGAGGGAUGGACCGCAAUCUCCUAGACGUGGAGUUAAUGUACAGUAUCGAGAAAAAAAGGCUUGGUGACACACUGCAAGCAAAUGAGAAGCUUCUUCAAGAGAAAAUGCAACAAGAGAUAAAACAAAAAGAAAUGGAUUGCAAGCUUCAGAGCAUCGAGCAACAAAAUGAAAGCUUGCAAGGAAAGCUUGAUGAAGCUCUGCGACAAAAUAAAGAAAUCCUCCAAGAGAAAAAGCAGCUGGACAGAAAGCACAUGGAGGGAAAAGAAAGGAUGCUGCAGGUAAAGUUCGAUGAGACACUGCACAAAUAUCAAGAGCUGCUUCAAGAGAAAGAACAGCUGACCAUAAAGCAGAAAGAAGAAAAACUUCUUCUCCAGGAGUUUGAGAGGAAAAACCGAAAUCUGCAAGAACUUUACAACAAAAUGAAGUACAAAGCAUCUGAGCUGGAAGGAGAAAAUGAAAAACUGCAAAAACAGGAGGCAACAUCUAAAGUGCUGAAAGAAAGGCUGGAAGAAAAACAAGCUGAAUUAGAAGAAGUGGAGAAAAAAUGCAAUAAACUGGAGCAGCAAAAUACAGAAACAAUCGAGGAGUUGAAAAUCCUCAUCCUCGAGAAAAAAGUGCUCAUGGAAAAGCAGCUGGAAAAAAAGAAAAAACGCUUCCGCUUCUUCCAGAGGAAGAACAAUCCUGCUUUUCCUGCUGCCGAUGUCACCUCGUCUUCCUCCACCUCUGUUCCAGCUUAAUCCCCCCCCCCACCUUAACACCUAACACCUCUCCCAUUCCCCCCCCCCUUUCACACUCACCCCCCAACCAGUCCCGACAGUUGACUGCCCCCUCUAGAGCCUGGUUCUGUCAUAGGUUUCUUCCUUUAAAGGGAGUUUUUCCUAUCCACUGUCGCCUAGUGCUUGCUCAGAGGGGAUUGUUGGGGUUUUCUCUCCUCUCUCCCUUUCCUUUACGCUCUUCUUUACAUCCCCCCACCCCCACCUUUUCUUUUUUCUUAAUAAUAGAACAAUAAAAACAAUUGGCUGCAUUUUAAAUGUGUCAAAUCAAUGUCUUUAUUCAAGAAUACAAGAAAUGGGUAAUAGCUG
This is a long non-coding RNA of Oreochromis aureus, 2091 nucleotides long. The record is from Ensembl. Lineage: Eukaryota; Metazoa; Chordata; Actinopteri; Cichliformes; Cichlidae.